Molecule: ribosomal RNA, 528 nt
Filed under: uncultured bacterium
Lineage: Bacteria
Description: bacterial SSU rRNA
Rfam family: Bacterial small subunit ribosomal RNA
Source: RNAcentral
AAUAGAUACCCGGGUAGUCCACGCCGUAAACGAUGAGUGCUAAGUGUUAGAGGGUUUCCGCCCUUUAGUGCUGCAGCUAACGCAUUAAGCACUCCGCCUGGGGAGUACGGCCGCAAGGCUGAAACUCAAAGGAAUUGACGGGGGCCCGCACAAGCGGUGGAGCAUGUGGUUUAAUUCGAAGCAACGCGAAGAACCUUACCAGGUCUUGACAUCCUCUGACAACCCUAGAGAUAGGGCUUUCCCCUUCGGGGGACAGAGUGACAGGUGGUGCAUGGUUGUCGUCAGCUCGUGUCGUGAGAUGUUGGGUUAAGUCCCGCAACGAGCGCAACCCUUGAUCUUAGUUGCCAGCAUUCAGUUGGGCACUCUAAGGUGACUGCCGGUGACAAACCGGAGGAAGUGGGGAUGACGUCAAAUCAUCAUGCCCCUUAUGACCCGGGCUACACACGUGCUACAAUGGAUGGUACAAAGGGCUGCAAACCUGCGAAGGUAAGCGAAUCCCAUAAAGCCAUUCUCAGUUCGGAUUGCAGG